AGCGAACGCUGGCGGCAGGCUUAACACAUGCAAGUCGAGCGCCCCGCUCGGGGAUCGGCAGGCGCGGGAGUGACACGCGGGGACAUACCCUUUGGUUUGGGACAACACAGGUAAACUUCACUUAUUACCGCAUAAGCCCUUACGGGGAAAGAGUUAUCGCCCACAAAUUGGCCCCCGCCGGAUUAUCUCGUUGGUGUGGUAACGGCUCACUAAGGCGACGAUCAGUAGCUGGGCUGAGAGGAUGAUCAGCCACACUGGGACUGAGGCACGGCCCAGACUCCUACGGGAGGCAGCAGUGGGGAAUAUUGGACAAUGGGGGCAACCCUGAUCCAGCAAUGCCGCGUGAGUGAUGAAGGCCUUAGGGUUGUAAAGCUCUUUUGCCCGGGAAGAUAAUGACGGUACCGGGAGAAUAAGCCCCGGCUAACUUCGUG
This 431-nucleotide ribosomal RNA is filed under the name uncultured bacterium. Its description in RNAcentral is "partial 16S ribosomal RNA". It matches the Rfam family "Bacterial small subunit ribosomal RNA", at positions 29 to 507 of the family's 1533-position model. The record is from RNAcentral.